UUUUUGUAUUUAAUAUAAAGUCUAAUCUGCCCACUGAUAAUUUAUUAAAGGGCUGCAGUAUUUUGACUGUACAAAGGUAGCAUAAUCAUUUGUCUCUUAAUUGGUGACUUGUAUGAAAGAUUGGAUGAAAUAUAAGCUGUCUCAUUAUAAUAAAUAAAAUUUAAUUUUUUAGUAAAAAAGCUAAAAUAAUUUUAAAAGACGGGAAGACCCUAUAGAGUUUAAUAAUUAUUUUUAUAUAGAAUAAAAUAUUACAAUUUGGAUUUAAAUAAAAAUAAUUAUUUUGUUGGGGUGACAGAAAAAUUAAAUUAACUUUUUUUUUAAAAUAAACAUUAAUAAGUGAGUAGAUGAUCCAUUAAUAAUGAUUAUAAGAAAAAAUUACCUUAGGGAUAACAGCGUAAUUUUUUUUUUUAGGCCAAAUAAGAAAAAGAGUUUGCGACCCCGAUGUUGGAUUAAGAUAAAAUUUAAAUGUAAAAGUUUAAAGUUUUGAUCUGUUCGAUCAUUAAAA
This 505-nucleotide ribosomal RNA is filed under the name Troides vandepolli vandepolli. Its description in RNAcentral is "partial 16S ribosomal RNA". Lineage: Eukaryota; Metazoa; Arthropoda; Insecta; Lepidoptera; Papilionidae. The record is from RNAcentral.